Molecule: long non-coding RNA, 521 nt
Filed under: Salvia miltiorrhiza (redroot sage)
Lineage: Eukaryota; Viridiplantae; Streptophyta; Magnoliopsida; Lamiales; Lamiaceae
Description: long non-coding RNA (SMIL_LNC009116)
Source: RNAcentral
AGGAUUUGAACAUAUGACUCUAUUAAGUCCAGAUUUUUAGAUAUAUUACACUAUUAAAGACUAAGAGAUGAACUAAUUCGAUGCUAUAUGGGAUAAAUGAAAUUUUCUUGCUACAAACACUGGAAAAGUAAUAGUGACAGAUUCGAUAUGUUUAUCAAUGUGGAUUGUUGCUGGUUAAUAGUUUAGAAGUAUAAUCAUCUUCCUUAUAGGAGAUUGUAGUGAUUGCUUUUACAGUGUGAAGUUUCUAUUGUGAAGGGGAUAAAAUGUAGUGCAUGUAGCAGUUGAAACAAUAGCUUCCUAUUGUUUGAGUCUUGCAUUGUUCAUUUGAUAUGGUUUAUAUGUGAUCCUGUAUCAGGUUAGUUAGUUCGAGUUGUGAGGGCUGUAGGGAUAGUGACAUAUUUUGCGAUGGGAUACUUCCUAAUGAGGAGCUUUAUUAGAAAUCUGCAUAAGUAAUCGAGAAAGAAGUAACAAGUUUGGAGGAAUCUCUGAUCUUGAACAGGAACUUGGUCAAUUGUGUGGUU